RNAcentral lists this ribosomal RNA (137 nucleotides) under uncultured bacterium. Its description in RNAcentral is "partial 16S ribosomal RNA". It matches the Rfam family "Bacterial small subunit ribosomal RNA", at positions 355 to 509 of the family's 1533-position model. The record is from RNAcentral.
UAGGGAAUAUUGCACAAUGGGGGAAACCCUGAUGCAGCGACGCCGCGUGAAGGAAGAAGUAUCUCGGUAUGUAAACUUCUAUCAGCAGGGAAGACAAUGACGGUACCUGACUAAGAAGCCCCGGCUAACUACGUGCC